CAGAGUUGCAAAACUCCCACAAACCAUCGCGAAUCGUUACCACAUACGGUUGCCUCGGCGCUGCGGUCCGAGGCCCUCGGGUCCCCGAUCCGGGGCGCCCGCUCGCGGGAGCUGCCGCCGUAGUGCCGAAACUACUCUUGAUAAUCUUAUGUCUACAUCUGAGUACUACUUUAAUAAGUCA
RNAcentral lists this unclassified non-coding RNA (181 nucleotides) under soil metagenome. RNAcentral's name for it is "partial internal transcribed spacer 1". The record is from RNAcentral.